Long non-coding RNA from Alligator mississippiensis (American alligator), 361 nucleotides. RefSeq lists it as uncharacterized. The transcript is spliced from 3 exons. NCBI's taxonomy places the organism in Eukaryota, Metazoa, Chordata, Crocodylia, Alligatoridae. The record is from RefSeq and is a predicted model, not a curated record.
CUUUUCCCUUUCUCUUAUAAUCUGGAUGUCAGUAGAGUUGUGUUUUAUUUUACUGCAUUUUAUUUUAUGGCAUUAAGAAUACACAUUUCCCUUCAAAAUCUUCUUGAUAUCAAAUGUAACAUUAUUAUGAAAAUUGUCAACUGAAAACCUAAAAAACAAAAUUCUGAGGUCAAAGCCACACAGCAUGAGCAAUAGUGUCUUGAACUUCCUUUAUCAAUGCCAAGCUGAAGAGACCAUCUUUACAGAGUUCUUGGGUCUUCCUGGAAAAGAGAAGGUGAAGAGCUGGAUUACCACAAAUCUGAGGUAUUAAUGACAUGAUCAAAAAUUAAAAGUACUAGAAAUGUUGCAAAACAAGAAUUCC